UGGGGAAUAUUGGACAAUGGGCGAAAGCCUGAUCCAGCCAUGCCGCGUGUGUGAAGAAGGCCUUUUGGUUGUAAAGCACUUUAAGCGAGGAGGAGGCUACUUAGAUUAAUACUCUAGGAUAGUGGACGUUACUCGCAGAAUAAGCACCGGCUAACUCUGUGCCAGCAGCCGCGGUAAUACAGAGGGUGCGAGCGUUAAUCGGAUUUACUGGGCGUAAAGCGUGCGUAGGCGGCUUUUUAAGUCGGAUGUGAAAUCCCUGAGCUUAACUUAGGAAUUGCAUCGAUACUGGGAAGCUAGAGUAUGGGAGAGGAUGGUAGAAUUCCAGGUGUAGCGGUGAAAUGCGUAGAGAUCUGGAGGAAUACCGAUGGCGAAGGCAGCCAUCUGGCCUAAUACUGACGCUGAGGUACGAAAGCAUGGGGAGCAAACAGG
RNAcentral lists this ribosomal RNA (429 nucleotides) under bacterium. Its description in RNAcentral is "partial 16S ribosomal RNA". It matches the Rfam family "Bacterial small subunit ribosomal RNA", at positions 355 to 776 of the family's 1533-position model. The record is from RNAcentral.